Molecule: ribosomal RNA, 243 nt
Filed under: uncultured bacterium
Lineage: Bacteria
Description: partial 16S ribosomal RNA
Rfam family: Bacterial small subunit ribosomal RNA
Source: RNAcentral
GAUCAUAGCUCAGGAUGAACGCUAUCUACAGGCUUAACACAUGCAAGUCGAGGGGAAACGACAUCGAAAGCUUGCUUUUGAUGGGCGUCGACCGGCGCACGGGUGAGUAACGCGUAUGCAACCUGCCCGAUACCGGGGUAUAGCCCAUGGAAACGUGGAUUAACACCCCAUAGUACUUUUAUCCUGCAUGGGAUGUGAGUUAAAUGUUCAAGGUAUCGGAUGGGCAUGCGUCCUAUUAGUUAG